UGCAGCAACCUCCACGUGGUGAGACCUGGGUAAUAUUAUCUAGCGUUUAAUUAAUAAUCGUAUCACUCUCAGCCGGGUGAUGCAAUUAUUAAUUAAAAACUAAAUAAUAUUAGCAAAUUGGCUGCAAUCCGCCUUGCAUAGGUCAGCACAAACAUAGAACUUCUUCGCUAGAUUAGUUUUGAUU
Long non-coding RNA from Colletes gigas, 184 nucleotides. RefSeq lists it as uncharacterized. NCBI's taxonomy places the organism in Eukaryota, Metazoa, Arthropoda, Insecta, Hymenoptera, Colletidae. The transcript has 3 exons. The record is from RefSeq and is a predicted model, not a curated record.